This 8739-nucleotide long non-coding RNA is filed under the name Sorghum bicolor (sorghum). RNAcentral's name for it is "long non-coding RNA (SBIC_LNC008158)". The record is from RNAcentral. Lineage: Eukaryota; Viridiplantae; Streptophyta; Magnoliopsida; Poales; Poaceae.
GGUAUAGAUGUGCUAGUGCUUGAUAUAAUCCAUGAUCUUGUAAGAUGAUUAAUAGCUAUGCAAUGAACAUAAAAGAAUAACAAAUAACUAUAUGAGAUCUUGUCUGUAAGUGAUCACCGGGACAACAGUGCAACCAUGAGGGCUAUAAUGUCUCUGGCUUUAGCUCAGUAUGAAGCACUUUUCUAGCUGGUUAGAGGUUACCCGAAAGGGCGGAGGGGCUGAACCGUUUUGGGUAUAGUGUGGCCUCUGUCUGUAUGAGUAUAGGCUGCGAGUCAUUGUGCCAUCGGAAGGGGGGCUCUAUAUCUGCGCGCAAAGAAAACCUUGCGGCCCUAACUUGUUAGACGAACUUUUGAAAGGCUUCAUAGUGAUCCCUGCCGACCUCCCUAGGAAGGGGGUUAAGAGAUUAGCUACCUCGGGCGAAAGGGUAAAUCAUGACUCAUGGGUAAAGAUGUACAACCUCUGCAGAGUGUAAAACUGGUAUACUAGCCGUGCUCACGGUUAUGAGCGGCCUUGGGGGUUCUUGCUGCGCCGACGAUGAGCUUAUUAAGUUGUUAGGUUCAUUUGAUUAUCGUUUAUGCAAUGGAUUAAUUAUGCUUACACAUGAUCAUGGGAUUAAUGGAUUAUUUAUGCUUCCUUGACAAUUGCUAUUUAAUUAUGAACAUGCUAUCCACUAUUAAAAGCUAAAUGCAGUCAAACCAGUGUCAGCUAUUUGAGCCUCAUGAACCCCUGGUUAUACUUGUUGAGUACGAUAUGUGCUCACUCUUGCAAUUUCCCAACACCUCAGGGUAUGAUAAUGAAGAUGACUGGAAUGAGGAUUAUCGGUAUGAGUACUAGGUUUGGAGUCAACCAGUCAACAGUGUCCCUGUGUGGAGCUUCCAUCGAGAGCGUUGUUUACUUUAUGCUAUCAUUUUUGUAUGAGACUAUGUGAUUCAAUAUAUAGUCCGCUAUGUAAUAAACACUGCAAUGGUACAUUUGAGAUUUGUCUACUUAUGUGUGCGACUGUUUCUGGGGCACAUAUGAGUCUUUUAUGCAUCCUAUUUUGUUCUUAAAAUAUGGGUGUGACAAAUUGGUAUCAGAGCUUUGUUGACUGUCGGACGCAAGCCUAGUUAGAAAUUGGCCGUCAUAAGGUUUUGAAAUUGCUAUAAAAUCCUUGUUCUAUAAACCUUGAUAUUUUCUUCUACACUAUAUCCUAUUCAUCUUCACCUUGUUGCUUAUCUUAAAGACUUGUUCUCAUCCCCACUCCUUGCUUUGAAUAUGCUUUUAGAACCUUCUCUUACUACCUGCUUACAUAGUUGAAAGAGAAUUUUAGGAAUCUUUGCCCUUAAUAGGAAGAGAACGAUAGUACCGCAAGUUGAGUUAAUGCUUGAAAUGCGAACCUUUGAUGCUUGGUUUGGUUUGUUAUUAUGCUUAUGCUUGAUUUGGAUCUUUGUAAUGAGUGCAAUGAUCUUGUGGAUUUCCUCUACAAUUUCAUUUAGUUUAUAGGCUUAAGGCAUAAGGAUUAAUGAACUAAAUAGUUGGGGUUGGUUAAAAUUCUGUUUCUGUCCUUUGCUGUUUUAUGGAGCAGUCUGCAAUGAAUCUGGUACAUCUCAAAAUCUGUUCAUGCAAUGUCCAUCAAAUUUUUCUGGGAACAAGUAGACUUCCAUAUCUUUCCAAUGCCGCAAGAAUGACCAUAUCAUCGAUUAUGAGCUGAGAGUUAUGACUGUUUCAAGUUGAGGUUUCUGCGCAGUCUGGAAUUCUGGAACAGUUUCGGUUGUACCCAGUUUUUGGUUAACCUCACGUUGGAAUCUGGUAAUAUGAUCUAAAUGAAAGUUGUAGACAAUUUCUUUAUCUUUCCAACGGUGUACAAUAUGUAUCCUUUUGAAUUCUGGAACUCGAGAUAUUACUGAUUUUCUGAUCUGCUGAUGUUGGAUGUUACCCAGAAAAUUUCAGAUUCGGUUAACUCUUGUAAUUGUCAUGUUGGACAUUACUAAGAUGUGUUUAUAUACCUUGGAAUGCAGAUGGCAGCAAGGGGAAGAGGCAGAGGCAGAGGCCGUGGCAAUAGUGACAAUGCCCCAAUUACUGUGGAGGAACUUAUGCAAACUCAGAAUCAGAUGAUGCACGUCUUCAUGCAACACCUACAACAACAACCUCCACCAACACCACCACCUGUUCAUGUGAGAGAUAAGCGGGGGGAAUUCAUGAAGGGAAGACCUCCGGUAUUUACACACUCAGCGGAUCCCAUGGAGGCGGAUGAUUGGUUACGUGCUGUGGAGAGGCAACUAAACAUAGCACAGUGCAAUGACUUAGAGAAGGUGUUGUAUGCUUCUGGACAACUUCAGGGAGCAGCUCAGACCUGGUGGGAGUCAUAUCAAGCUGCUCGUUCCAACAAUGCUCCUCCUGUCACUUGGUUAGAAUUUUGCAGAGACUUCCGAGCACGACACAUCAAUGAAGGAAUGAUGGAGCUCAAGCAGGAAGAAUUCAGAUCUCUUAGGAUGGGUUCUAUGUCUGUGGCUGAGUAUCAUGACACGUUUGAGCAGUUGGCUCGCUAUGCUCCAAACGAAGUCAGAGAAGAUGCUGACAAACAACGUCUCUUCAUGAAAUGUCUUUACCAUGAACUCAGAUUGCAACUGGCUGGAAAUACCUACCCUACAUUCCAGGCUCUGGUGAACCGUGCCAUUGUGUUGGAUAACAUGCGCAAAGGUCUGGAUAAGAAGAGGAGGAUGCUAGCACAAGGGUCUGGAGGCAACAACCGCCAACGUUUCAAUUCUCAGCAGAGCAAUCAACAGAGGUUCCAGGGACCAGUUAGUCAAUGGGAUCGCAACCAACAAUCUCAGCGUAAUCCUAAUCAUCAACAAAGUGGACAGCAGACUUCCCGCUCCGGAGAUUCAAAUGCCACCUCUAUGAAGAGAAGUGCUCCCAAUACCCCUACUAGGUGUUUUCGCUGUGGGAAAGAAGGUCAUAUGUCAUAUGAUUGCCCGGAGAGAUUCAACCAGCGGAACAACAAUCAAAAGUCUAAUUCUCAUGGAGCAAAGGUGAACCAUGUGGCUGCAGAGACAGUACAAGAGGGACCGGAGAUUAUGAUGGGUACGUUCAGUAUCAACUCUAUUCCCGCUACAGUUUUAUUUGAUUCUGGAGCUUCGCAUACAUUCAUAUCACAAGCAUUUGUUAGAGCUCAUAGCAUACCACUAGUUGCCCUGAAAACCCAUAUGCUAGUAAACUCACCGGGAGGGACUAUACCAGUUUCAUAUUGUUGCCCCUCAGCAAGUCUUUCUUUAAGGGGGGUAGAUUUCCCUGUUAGUCCCAUGGUUAUGAGAACCUCAGGCAUAGAUGUGAUAUUGGGUUUGGAUUGGAUGAAGAAAUAUGCUACGGAAAUUAAGUGCAAGGAGAAAGUAGUAGUUGUGACCACACCCAAGGGAGAGAGAAUCAGUGUGGACGUAGCAGUACAAGCUCCACCCACAGCCACAGUGAAUCAUUUAGAGGAUGAUGGUGUUGAUCUUCAGGACUGUGUAGGGAAUAAAUUUUCAGAUAAGUUAUUAGGUAUGUUACUUGACUAGAGACAUUGAAUUUGCUAGUGCAAUGGGAUUGGCAUUCACAAGGAGAAACAACUUGGGAAAGAGAAGAGGAUUGGAGAGAAUCAAAUCCACAGUGCUUUAUUUACACACUGCUCAAUCUCGAGGACGAGAUUCUUUUAAGGGGGUAGAGUUUGUAACACCCAAAAUUUUGAAUUUUAAUUAAUAGGAUUUAAUUUGAAUUAUUUAAGAAUUUUAGUGAGCAUUUAAUGUAGCAAAUAAAUAAUUUUUGUGGAAAUUAAAAUUUAUCAUAAGCUUAGUAACAUGAUUUUGUGCAUUCAUGCUGAGAUAUAUUUUAUUUUGUGUUGAUUGUAUUUGGUUUGUAUUUAAUUGUCCUCAAAAUCCUUUCUGAAAAAAAAACUUUGAAAAAAAAAUAAAACAAAACAGAAAAGAAAUUAGAAAUAAAAAAAAAAGAGAAAGCCCUUGGAAGACAGCCGAAGCCCAGCUCCCCGGCCUGGCUCCUCCCCCUCUUCUCUCCUCGCUGACACCCUGGGGCCGCAUGUCAGCGCUUCCAUCUCCUUCCUCUGUUCGUAACCGAGCCGGACACGGCCGGGAGCCAAUCGAACCCGAUUUCUCGGGAUUACUUGCCAAACGCGUUAGCCGAGCCCCUAUAUAAUCCCUAGCAUCGCCCCCGCGCGUGUUUCCCAUCUUCGCCGCGCAAAAUCCGUGUCCUAGCUACAGCAGCCGCCAGACGGGAUCUUGCCGCAAGCCGAGCGCCUUGCCGUGCGCCGCGAGCUCCUCCCGUCGUUCUUCGGCCCCAGCAAAGCACCUCCUCGAAUUCGCGGUGAGCUCCUCGUUCCGAUGGUGUUUUUCUUUCUUGAAACGGUGCUCGGAAACGAGAAACCCGCGAACGCCGGCGAGCUUUCGAACGGUGGCCAUGGCGCCACCGUGCUGAGCUCCGGUCGGCCGGCCAGGCUUGGCCCUGGAUGGAACACCAGCCGUUAGAUGCAAGAUCAAGGGACAGAAAUAGAAGUUACCCCUUCAGCUGCGAAACUAUAUAAAGAGUCCUUGAACUUUUUCAUAUUUGCUCCGCAGUCCUUGGCGCCCUGAGACGAUUCCGUUACUCAACUCCGAAAGCGUAUUUCGUGAAUUGCCAUUGGAUUUAGUUUGCUCAUAAAAUACUCAUUUUAACUCCGUUUUUGUCCAUUCAAAUUCCGUUGGAUUCGUAUUUACGAUCUCUACAUGUUAGAAAUAUUAGUUUACUGUUUUGAAACAUUUUAAUUCUGCAGUAGCAUUUAAUUAAUUAUUACUCUAUAGGAAAUCUUAGAAAAUUCAUAUCUUACUCGUUUUAAUUCCGAUUUUCGUGAACUUUACGUUUGUGUGAUCGUAGCGCUGCGUAGAAUAUUAUCAUAAACUUUUAUAUUUGUUUUACCACUGUUUGGUGUAUUGUUCUAAUUAUACCUUGUUUGCUUCGUGUAUGAUUGUCUACAUUGGAUUGCGUGUUGUUGAUUGAUGAUUGGGAUUAGACGGUGAGCCGUACGUUGGUGAUCAAGACCAAGCUUUUGAAGACCAGCGGGCUCAGGAGAGCUUUGGUCAAGGCAAGUAUAACUUGGGACCAUCCUUGUUACCUAUUCACUUAUAACUACAUAUAUAUAUCAUAUGCAUGCUAUCACCUUGUCGACCUUAGCAAAAUCAUAGAUGAUUGUUACCUGUAUUCCUUGCUACCUACUUGAUAUGCAUUUGGUAUAGAUGUGCUAGUGCUUGAUAUAAUCCAUGAUCUUGUAAGAUGAUUAAUAGCUAUGCAAUGAACAUAAAAGAAUAACAAAUAACUAUAUGAGAUCUUGUCUGUAAGUGAUCACCGGGACAACAGUGCAACCAUGAGGGCUAUAAUGUCUCUGGCUUUAGCUCAGUAUGAAGCACUUUUCUAGCUGGUUAGAGGUUACCCGAAAGGGCGGAGGGGCUGAACCGUUUUGGGUAUAGUGUGGCCUCUGUCUGUAUGAGUAUAGGCUGCGAGUCAUUGUGCCAUCGGAAGGGGGGCUCUAUAUCUGCGCGCAAAGAAAACCUUGCGGCCCUAACUUGUUAGACGAACUUUUGAAAGGCUUCAUAGUGAUCCCUGCCGACCUCCCUAGGAAGGGGGUUAAGAGAUUAGCUACCUCGGGCGAAAGGGUAAAUCAUGACUCAUGGGUAAAGAUGUACAACCUCUGCAGAGUGUAAAACUGGUAUACUAGCCGUGCUCACGGUUAUGAGCGGCCUUGGGGGUUCUUGCUGCGCCGACGAUGAGCUUAUUAAGUUGUUAGGUUCAUUUGAUUAUCGUUUAUGCAAUGGAUUAAUUAUGCUUACACAUGAUCAUGGGAUUAAUGGAUUAUUUAUGCUUCCUUGACAAUUGCUAUUUAAUUAUGAACAUGCUAUCCACUAUUAAAAGCUAAAUGCAGUCAAACCAGUGUCAGCUAUUUGAGCCUCAUGAACCCCUGGUUAUACUUGUUGAGUACGAUAUGUGCUCACUCUUGCAAUUUCCCAACACCUCAGGGUAUGAUAAUGAAGAUGACUGGAAUGAGGAUUAUCGGUAUGAGUACUAGGUUUGGAGUCAACCAGUCAACAGUGUCCCUGUGUGGAGCUUCCAUCGAGAGCGUUGUUUACUUUAUGCUAUCAUUUUUGUAUGAGACUAUGUGAUUCAAUAUAUAGUCCGCUAUGUAAUAAACACUGCAAUGGUACAUUUGAGAUUUGUCUACUUAUGUGUGCGACUGUUUCUGGGGCACAUAUGAGUCUUUUAUGCAUCCUAUUUUGUUCUUAAAAUAUGGGUGUGACAGCUGCCGGAAGUACCGACUACGCCACCCAACGAAUCCUAGGACAAUUAAGAAAAUGGAGAGUCCCGUUCGGAGGACUUAAAAACACCGAACGCCUUGCCAACAUGUAAACUUGGUAGUUAUCAUUUCCCUUUCAAUUAUUUCAACUAGUUUACUUAGUUAAGCAUGCUCAUACUAUCCUAAAAAGAAAAUAAAAAUGUGAAAAAACAGUAAGCCCCAUGUGAGUAUGCAAGUGGCAUAAAACCCAUAAGUACAUUCACUGUGGUGGCAUAAAAAUAAAAUAAAAAUUUCUUUUCUACUUUAUAAAAUAAAAAUAUAAAAACAGGGAGUAAUAAUUAUUAAGGAGUCUCAACACGAUAAAGGCUAGAUAUUUAUGCUAACACUUAAUCAGUUCCACAAGCUUUGUUGUCUAUUUGAGCUCCACAGAAUCUAAGAAUCAAGAAGACUAGCAGACGGAGGACAUUCUAAUCGCUGUCAGAAUGCUGCUGACUUUCAAAUACACUUCUGCCACCUGCUAGCUACAUCAAGAGAAAUUACGUCAAAAUUCAGCUUGGGGGAGAGCACCCCCAUUUAUCUCGAUAAGUAUUUCUAUCUAUCUAUCUUUAUAUUUAUACUAUAUUAAAAUAUAAUUAUGGAAAACCAAAUAAAGAUUUUAUGCUUAUAUAUAAAUAUAUCUUUUACUUAGUGUGUUUAAUAAAUAAAUAAAGUGGCUAUGCUAAUCUGUAUCUAAAUAAAACUUAAGCAUGGAUAUGAUGAAUAGUUGGUCUGCCUAAUUUGCACAUUUUAAGUUCUCUCUCAAGUUUAGAUAUAACUGUUAUAAUUUAAAUCUUGCUCUAGACCUAAACUUGUGGGAUGAAAACUUGAUCUGAGGUCUAAGUUGUUAACGGAUACGAUAUGGGAAGGUUGAGCUACUGUUUAUCUGUUCCUAGAGAUGCUAGAAUUCUGGAGAAUUUUAUCUUUGAAAAUCUUUAAAAUGUUGCAUGAUGAGUUCCUGUAUGAUGAGAGUUUAAAUUCCUACCACAGCCAUAUAUACAUGCUUGCUAGACUUUGAGCCACACAUUUACUAUUUACUGCUUAUGAGCAUUGAGUGUGGUCAAGCUGUGUAGACCCUUAGGAGCUUGUCAUGUGGUUAAAUCAAGAUUUCACUUGCACGUUCACUCAUAUAUGCUACUUCUACUCCGGAAGUACCAUCCACAUAUAUCCAUCCAUUUCCAUCUCUAGAAUCACCCAAAAAUAUUCUACUCCUAAUCCGGGAGGGAAUAACCAAAAAUAUUUCUGUUUUCCCCUAUGAAAUAAAUGCUCAAGUUAUCUUUUUACUACCACUUGCUAUAUUAUCUCAAGAGAUGAGUGCUCUAAAAAAAGAUAAAAAAAAGAGAAAAAAAUAAUAUAUACGAGGAAAUAAAAAGGAGCAAGUGCUCGGAACCUCGAAAGAAAAGAAAAAGUGAGACGAGAGGUAAAAAUGGACAAGUGUCCGACAGUAGAAUUAGGGGUACAAGAUACCCACCUGAGAGAAAAGAAAAAUAAAGAGCAUCUCAUUCUCCUCAAAAUAUUUCAAAAAGCAAGAAAGGUAUGUAUCACCUCAAAAGAGCAGUAGUAGAAUUAGACUUCCACCACCAUUGUUUCCAUCAUUGUUAUCACCAUCAUCACCAUACACCAUUCAUUCGCCACACAUGCACAUCUUGAUUUGACUUAUUGAUUUGUUUCUUUGGAUCCAUGGUUUGACUAUACAAUAAAUGUCUUGUAAGUAUGUAUACUUUAUCUCCCACCUAUGAGCUCUAGAUAUUAAAGCCUUAUUAGAGUAGGGUGAGAGAGAAGACAAUGUCACUAUGCUUUACACCACAAAUACUACAUAUAUUGAGAGAAGGCAUAUACCAUCACUGCCUUGGUAAGGAUCCAGAAAUACCACAAAAGAGAGAUCUGAGAGAAUCAUACAAGGAAUCUCUGAGUUUUAUUUGAAAAUCUGCAAAAACCCCAGAGCUAUAGCUGAUCAAGAAUAAGAGACAUGACACUUGGCUAGACUGUUCUAUCUUUUAACCUCUCAAGACAGAAGUGACGGUUACAAGUCCCAUAGUGAAGGUAAAGUAAGUAAGUUUUAAGUCUUGACAGUUUACUCUAAUCAGAGAUGAGAUCUUAUUUAAAAAGCAUGUGUACCGUCAAUUUUGAAAGAUAUUGCAACAACUUAUGAUCCAUAGCUGAGUCUAUCCUUGCUCAGGGACGAGCAAGAGGUAAGCUUGGGGGAGUUUAUUGACGGUCCUUAAGUAUCAAAUUUAAUUAUCAAAUAAAUAAAGAAAAGGAUCCAAAUGAAAUCAACAUCUAGACUUAGGGUUUUAUCUGACAGAAUUCCACGAGUUUUGGUGUUUGUCUAUUUCUGCAGGGGGUUAUCAGGAAAUAAGGAAGAAAGGCCCUUCGGGAUUACAUAGAGAUAUUAACGUGCUGCACAAUUAUCU